RNAcentral lists this ribosomal RNA (301 nucleotides) under uncultured bacterium. Its description in RNAcentral is "partial 16S ribosomal RNA". It matches the Rfam family "Bacterial small subunit ribosomal RNA", at positions 509 to 809 of the family's 1533-position model. The record is from RNAcentral.
CAGUAGCCGCGGUAAUACGUAGGUGGCAAGCGUUGUCCGGAAUUAUUGGGCGUAAAGCGCGCGCAGGCGGAUCAGUCAGUCUGUCUUAAAAGUUCGGGGCUUAACCCCGUGAUGGGAUGGAAACUGCUGAUCUAGAGUAUCGGAGAGGAAAGUGGAAUUCCUAGUGUAGCGGUGAAAUGCGUAGAUAUUAGGAAGAACACCAGUGGCGAAGGCGACUUUCUGGACGAAAACUGACGCUGAGGCGCGAAAGCCAGGGGAGCGAACGGGAUUAGAUACCCCCGUAGUCCCUGUCUCUUAUACA